AGAAUCAACGCUGGCGGCGUGCCUAACACAUGCAAGUCGCACGAGAAAGGGGACUUCGGUCCUUGAGGUACAGUGGCGCACGGGUGAGUAACACGUGAAUUAUCUACCUUCGAGUGGGGAAUAACUGAGAGAAAUCUUAGCUAAUACCGCAUAAUACCUACGGGUCAAAGCAGCAAUGCGCUUGAAGAGGAGUUCGCGGCAGAUUAGUUAGUUGGCGGGGUAAUGGCCCACCAAGACGAUGAUCUGUA
This 248-nucleotide ribosomal RNA is filed under the name uncultured bacterium. Its description in RNAcentral is "partial small subunit ribosomal RNA". It matches the Rfam family "Bacterial small subunit ribosomal RNA", at positions 26 to 285 of the family's 1533-position model. The record is from RNAcentral.